Molecule: ribosomal RNA, 429 nt
Filed under: Verrucomicrobiota bacterium
Lineage: Bacteria; Pseudomonadati; Verrucomicrobiota
Description: Verrucomicrobia bacterium partial 16S ribosomal RNA
Rfam family: Bacterial small subunit ribosomal RNA
Source: RNAcentral
UAGGGAAUCUUCCGCAAUGGACGCCCUUCUGACGGAGCAACGCCUCGUGAGUGAAGAAGGUUUUCGGAUCGUAAAACUCUGUUGUAAGAGAAGAACAAAUUGUAGAGUAACUGCUACAGUCUUGACGGUAUCUUACCAGAAAGCCACGGCUAACUACGUUCCAGCAGCCGCGGUAAUACGUAGGUGGCAAGCGUUGUCCGGAUUUAUUGGGCGUAAAGGGGGGGCAGGCUGCUUCUUAAGUCUGAUGUGAAAGCCCACGGCUUAACAGUGGAAGUGCAUUGGAAACUGGGAAGCUUGAGUAAAGAAGAGGAAAGUGGAAGUCCAUGUGUAGCGGUGGAAUGCGUAGAUAUAUGGAAGAACACCAGUGGCGAAAGAGACUUUCUGGUCUGUCACUGACGAUGAGGCCCGAAAGCGUGGGUAGCAAACAGG